Molecule: non-coding RNA, 518 nt
Organism: Tetranychus urticae (two-spotted spider mite)
Lineage: Eukaryota; Metazoa; Arthropoda; Arachnida; Trombidiformes; Tetranychidae
Source: RefSeq, a predicted model, not a curated record
UCCAAACAAAUGAAAUCAUUUCAGGGUUUUGUUCAAUCAAACCUUCGAUUAGAUAGAAACUGGAUAAAUCAUUACAAUUAUAACUUUUUGAAUACAAAGAUGUCUGCAACCGAGAAGUAAGACACACAAAGACAAUUUUUUAUAUUUUAUGUUUGAAGAUUGUUUUAUUGACAGUGAUUAAAAGUGAAUUAUGAACUUACAGUUUCAGUUUUGUUAACAAUAUGUGCAGCAAAGAGGUAACAAAAGCCUUUGGAUUAAAAAUUUCACGAAAUGAGGGCCACUUGAUCUUUGUCAACCAUAAUAUCCAUAAUAUGGGGAACGAUAGAGUCCAUAAAGUCUUGGAUUAUUGUAAUAACCAUAAUAUGGAUAGUAGCUGUAAUAUGGGUACCGGUAGUAAUGGCGAUAGAAGAUUCCGUCGGUUGACUUUGGAAUGACCAGUAAGAAGAUGGCGAUUAGGAUAACAAGUGAUUUAACCUGAUAAUAUGUGAAAGAAUAAAAAUUGUGUCUUCGAAUGUGAA